UUUGUUUUUUUACAUGCCAAUUUGCCAUAGAAAGAUGAUGCUGAAAAUUAGAGUCCGAAGCAAGGUAAUAAAUUGUCCCAACUUUAUAAUUCUAAAAUUACUUGGAGCUCAUGUAAAUUUUUCACUUUGGGCCCAGCAAUGUGUCUCAAGAUCCUGGCAAAAAACUUUAGUCUCAGUGGAGUAUUUAAUUGAAUUGAAUAUAAACUACUGGAAUUACUCUUAUUUAAUUGGAUAUAAAAUGCAGAAUAAUUGUAAUAUUGUUAAGAAAUAAGACAACAGCAGAUUGAUUAUCCAACAGCACUAAAUUAAUCACUAGAAAAUGAUUGGGAGGAGACCAAUUGAUAAACAUCUCUAAUUCCCAGAAUGACUUAAGUCAAAUGAUCAUGAUUUUUCAUUUGAAUGGUGAAGGAAGUUCCCAGUGAAAUAAGCAUAUGCAGUCACAAUAAUUAAGAUUCAAGACGAAUCUUUGAAUUCAGUUGAAGUA
RNAcentral lists this long non-coding RNA (484 nucleotides) under Androctonus crassicauda. The record is from RNAcentral. Lineage: Eukaryota; Metazoa; Arthropoda; Arachnida; Scorpiones; Buthidae.